GUCUCGAUGGUCUAGUUGGCUAGGGCGCCGGUCUCAUAGGCCUGGUAUCAAAAGGUACCAAUCACGCCGUGAUUAGCUUGUCCACAAGCUGAGUGAUCCGGAGAUCGGGAGUUCGAUCCUCCCUCGAGACA
RNAcentral lists this transfer RNA (131 nucleotides) under Xylona heveae TC161. Its description in RNAcentral is "tRNA-Met". It matches the Rfam family "tRNA". Rfam says of the family: Transfer RNA (tRNA) molecules are approximately 80 nucleotides in length. Their secondary structure includes four short double-helical elements and three loops (D, anti-codon, and T loops). Lineage: Eukaryota; Fungi; Ascomycota; Xylonomycetes; Xylonales; Xylonaceae. The record is from RNAcentral.